Molecule: long non-coding RNA, 377 nt
Organism: Molossus molossus (Pallas's mastiff bat)
Lineage: Eukaryota; Metazoa; Chordata; Mammalia; Chiroptera; Molossidae
Exons: 5
Source: RefSeq, a predicted model, not a curated record
CCAGUGAUUCAUUGCACCGUGCAGGCGCUCAGGCGCCCAAUUAGCAUCUGGAAGACUAGGCGAAACUGGGGUGUAUGCUGGAAUUGUGGGACAUCUAAAAUUUUAAUCCUAAGCACUGAGGAAAGGACACGUUCCCACAAGUCCACGACCUAGGGCGUCAGUGAUGACAGGAAGAAGAGCCUGAUAGAUGGCGGCUCCGAGGGUGUGGAUCACACACUGCCAUCUGCAAAGAGGAACCUCGUCAGAUCAGGAGAAUGUCUUUUACUGUCAGGAUUUGGAAAACUUCAGGACGAAUAAGGACAGCACUGUUGAAACAGACUGGUUUCAAAGACAGACUUAUCAGCCUGGAAAAUAUGGGAGCACCUGCAAUUAUGUGC